This is a long non-coding RNA of Onychostoma macrolepis, 15389 nucleotides long. RefSeq lists it as uncharacterized. Lineage: Eukaryota; Metazoa; Chordata; Actinopteri; Cypriniformes; Cyprinidae. The record is from RefSeq and is a predicted model, not a curated record. The transcript has 2 exons.
GUUUGGAAUAAAUUGAAGGAUUUUUAACUUGUACUGCAUUAAGAUAAAGUAACGAGAGGAGCGUCGCCCACAGUAACGAAGUAAAAGUACCGUUUUUUUACUAAAAAUGUACUUGAGUAAGAGUAAAAGUACCUAUUUUUAAAUAUACUCUAAAAGUAUUAGUUACCCAAAAAAUUUACUCAAGUAAAUGUAACGAAGUAAAUGUAACUCGUUACUACCCACCUCUGGAAUUACGAGAUAUAAACUCGCAAUUGUGAGAAAAAAGUAAAAAUUGUGAGAUACAAACUCGCAGUUGCGAAAAAAACACGCAAAUGCAAGUUUAUGUCACUCAAUUUUGCGAAAAAAGUCAGAAUUGUGAGUUUAUAUCACACAAUUCUGAGUCUGAAUUCUGGGAUAAAAAGUCACAAUUACCUUUUUUAAUUUUUAUUCAGUGGCAGAAAUGGCAUCCAAACAUUUUGUAGAUGCACUGAGAAAGAUGCUGUGCAGUUGCUCUGUGUUUCUAGUUGUUGGUUAAUGAAAGUUGGCUGGCCUCUUUACUUUCCCAAGAGUAUCCUAUAUGAUUUUCUGGUCCCUAUAUAUGGCUUAUGUUUCACUGGUUUUCAACUGUCAUAAACACUGUCACAAGCCUCUCUGCUGCCCCCAACAGCACUGGAGCACUCCUGUUCUUGUUAUUCAGUGUGCGACAUAACAAUCUGAAGUGCUCUGGAAAAUAAAAGAUUUCAUUUAUUGAGGUGUAAAACAUUUUGUGGAAAAAAUGACUUCACCUUUAGUGUCAAAAGGCUUGAUAAAGUGCACUCAAAUGCGUCUUAUUCAAAAACUCUGUGAUCUCAUUUAUCAUCAUUGUAGAUUGAGUGCUUAAUGUAACUGAAGCCAAACAACGCAGAACACAAAGCCUAAGGCAUAAUGAAGCCAUCGGAUUAAAAAAAUAAUGAAACCUACCCAUGCUCCACAGAGCGCUCCCCAUAAUCUAGUCUCUUCUGGAGCUCAACCCUCUAAUGAAGUCUUGAUAGUUUUGGCAACAGAGGUUCAAAAGUUAUUGGAUAAUGGAAAAAAAUCGCAAUCUCUCCCUUUGAAGCUUGAACUACAUGGAAUGAACCACAGUUGAGGAAAACAGUGACUAAAGAUAUUAGAUCACCAGGUAAACAGCUGUAAACAGUAAUCUACUUGAAGCAACGUGACCUCCUCAAACAUCUUUGUAGCACUACAAUAUGGUUCUGUUUCACCCAGCACCAGGUAAAGUUUGAGAAAGAUUUUUACAUAAUGAGCAUAAAUCCAUGAACAGACCAUUAUCGCUAAAAAGGAAUGUUAUUCCAAUGUUAAAAUACUUUGUCCAAAGCCAGUUUAAUGUGUGGAGAAAACUACAGUAUACGUAAGCCAUUCAUCUAGUAGUAGACUGACUUCCUGAAAAAUAUAAACACUGUGGCUCUGAAACACUUUCAGCAAUGCUCAGUUUAUUCUAGCGAUCCAGCUUGUCAACAUCUGGCUCAACCAGUGCCGUUUGAGGCAAAACUACCUGUUGGCUGAAGGGAUAGUAAAUGUGCUUUAGAAACCUAAAUUGGGGAAGUUAUUACUUUUACAAUUCUAUUUGGAUGCUUAUAAAUACCAGUUCAUUCCAGUUCCAGUUCACUCUAAAAAAUAAAUGUUCCUAAAAAGGGUUUUCACAGUGAUGCAUUAAAUAACCAUUUUGGGUUCCACAAAGAAUUUUUCAGAGAACAGUUUUAAAAGAACCAUUUUUUUUUCUUAGUGUGAAGAACAUUUUUAAGGGGUCCUAUUAUGCUUUUUCUCUUUUUCAACUUUAGUUAGUGUUUAAUGUUGCUGUUUGCGCAUAAAAAUAUCUGCAAGGUUACAAAGCUCAAAGUUCACUCUAAAAGGAGAUGUUGUCUUUAACAGAAAACACUUUUCAAGAACUACAACAACUGGCUCGUUCGGACUACAGUGAGCUUCUUCUGGAUAUUGUGAAGUCUGGAUAGAGUGAUGUCACUCAUUUCGAUUGUGUACAUGCAACCAUAGUAUAUGGUGUAGAUACCAAAUAUAAAGAACCAAGGCCUGGUUGAGCUGUGCUAGAGAAGACGAAGCAGAAGAGCUGCUUUAGUAGAGUGUCGAAGAGAUACUGUUUCUUCCACCCUGGUUCCAAAACCCCUUUAUUUAUGCUUACAAAGGUUCUACAUGAUCCUCUUGUUCAUAAACAUUCUCAGGGUCUGAAUCAGGGCUUGAAUUGGUAGGGCAAAAUUGACGGCAUCGUUAAUAUUUACAGCUGAGCGGGUGUAACUCGUAGUUAUGGUAAGGGGUGUGUCAUUUCCAGAACAUGCACUGAGCGGUUCGCUAAUCACAACGCACUGGGUCAGCUAGCCAGUCAGAGAACAUUUCGAGUUUCAGAAGAAGGGGCUUCAUCAAAACAGGACAGGACAGCAUUCAAGACAGUCUGGGAAGGGAGGUUCUGCAAUAAUGUAAAUUAUGUGAAAAAUAAUGGCUUUUUGGAACAAUCAAGCAAGAUGAAAACCUAUUCUAGUACACCCCAAAACCUAAAUCAAGACUUCUUAAUAGGACCCUUUUAUAAACUAAAGAAUGUUUUUCCAUAUAAUGAACCUUCUGGGUGAUGAAAAGUUCUAUGGGUGUUAAAGGUUCUUCAUGGAAACAUUGAUGCCAAUAAAGAACCUUUAUCCUUGUAUCUACAUUAUCUACUAUUGGUGCUAUUUUACUGUCUUCACUAUUAUCUAUUACUGGUGCUGCUAUUACUAUCUACACUAUUGAAACUGUAGUAUUGCCAUCGAUUUCAACAAGAAGGUCCUGUUAUCAGUGCAGAACAUGACAACUAUGGUAUAAGAACUCUUGGCACAACAUUAAAAUAGAGAAACAUUAUUUUUUGACUUGUUUUAUUAGUACCUUAUUGAGUAAAAUCUUAAUUAUAAAACACAUAAGACAUUUUGAAACAACAUUAGACCCCAACUUCAUUGUAUGGCCAAAGAAACACUACAGAAUGCUCUUAAAAACCUUUUCUGAAACCUUUUCAUUUCUGAAAAAAGUUAUAGGUUUGAAAUGACAUAAAAACUCCAUCAUCAUUUACUCACUCUCAUUUUGGGGUGAACUAUCCCUUUGAAGUAAAAUAUGCACCCUUUAGAAGUAUAUAGGUACAAAGGUGUACCUUUGAAAGUAUUGCCCCAGUAUUCCAGACAAGCCAAUCUUUUGCACAAUCCUUUGACAGCAUAUCCUGACCAAUUACUUGGUGAACACUUUUAUUCAACAUCACAUAACAAGUAGGUUUUGCUCAUUAAAAUUGCAAUUUUUCUUAAUUGCAUUUCUUAACAAGGUUUUUAAGGUUAUAAAGUCAGCUUGCCAUAUAGAAAGUUGUCAGCGUUUUAAACAUAAAACAUGUUCUAGACAUCUCUCCAUGCUCCCUCGAUGAGGUCAUGUGUAGAGAAGUCUGGACAUAAGAAUGUCUGCAUGAUCCAACUGCACAUUUUAUAGUUUGCCCAUUGCAUUCGUUAAGGUCAGAUAAGAAAAGCAAGAAUGAUUUUAAUGACCUCAGCAGCACCCAGCUGAUUCCCGUCCAGGGCUCUGCAGAAAGAAUGAGAGGAAUGCAUUGGAGCGUAGAAACAAACAAUUGCACUUUGUUCCCUGCUGCGACGAGAGGCUUAUAUUCAGCCCACAGAGAAAGAUUCCUCAUGCCACCCUCAAAGGAAGCAGCUCACUGCCUAGUGAACCAAAGUACAUAGCUCCUUCACCACAUCAAAGAGUGCAAAAAUAUGUGCUGGGAUCUACUAAUGUAUUCAAAAAUGCAUUCAAAUGCAAUGCAUUAAAUACAUACAAUGACUUAAAUACACCUAUUUAAUGAACAAGUCAUGAUAUCAUGAAGAAAAACCUUCAUUAAAGAAAAUAAAAUAAAAAGAAAUUAGUAAAAAUGUAUAAGAAGUCUGGCAUAAACUAUUAUUAUUAUUAUUAUUAUUUCUUGAGAAUCAAAUUUAAAAAUAAAAAAAUAGUAAUAUUAUAACAAAAUUUCUUCACUGCUUUUUUUUAAAACUUUUAUAUGCAAAAUCAAAGUCAUGUGGUGUCAACAACAGUCAUGUGGUGUGACCAAUAUACAGAAGAACCAUGCAAUCAAUCAAUCAAUCAAUCAAUCAAUCAAUCAAUCAAUCAAUCAAUCAAUCAAUCAGUCAGUCAAUAAAAAAUGAUAUAGAGAGGCAGACAAAGUCUCUUGAAAUAUCAGCUAAUUUCACCUUUUAAUGACAAAUCAAUGUUAGUUCAGGUUGUAAAAUAUAAUGUGUAAAAAAACUUAUUUAGGCAUGCAUGCUCACAUAUAUUCUAAGUGUGGGGAAAGUAUGUUAUUCAUUUUUACCUCAUAGUUACACCACAUGACAUUUUUAGAUAGGUUACAUUUAAACUUUUGAAAAUCAUAAACAUAUUUAGAAAUAUCAUGGCACAUUUGUUUUAAAAUAGAUUUUUAAAAUAAUUUUUCUUUUCUUUUUUUUUUUUAUCAAGACACUCAAAAUUAAGCAUUCCCAAAAUCCAUGCAGAAAGUGUAUAAUUAUUAGCAUAAUCUCAAUUAUUAGUGAAACAAACCCUAAGAACAAUACUGCCGAUGUGUCAAAAGGUCACGGCUACUUACAGUCUCGGUUGUUUGAAAUGUCAGACAGUUCAAAACCUUGAGGCUGAAGUGUUUCCCGAGACGUAUUUAACAUGGCAACUGGACUGGCUUGCUUAGCAUGCACUGGGAAUUGAAGUGAACUCAACAGUUGAUGGCUUGACAGCUAAUUUAGCCGCUGCAUCAAACACUGAACAUCACAGGACUUCGGUAUAGUUACAGAAGCUAAGGCUCUAAAGUUACAGUGAAACCAUGAUGCUUUAGAAGUCUCUCAGCACAGGCAGCCACUCCCUGGGUUUCUGUCCGUCUAAUGUGGUCUGGCAAGAGCAUUGUGCACACGUCUCGCUCUGACUUUUAUUAAACGGGGCGUUUGUAGUUUGAUGAAGGUUCCCCUCCAAAACCACCCCACCCACCGCCUGUUAACAUCACCUCAAGAUCAAAAGAGGCUAAUCGCCGCUACGGCUGCGGUUCACCUUAUUAGCUGAAAACUUUUUGUGAGGCUGAACGUGUAUGUCAUGCACCCAUUAAAUUAAUCUCAAAAAAAGGACAAAGGUAGGACUGCAGACGAUUUUAUUUGAGUAGGUCAAAUAAAAAAGGGUUUUACUUUAUUAAAAAAACUUUAUUGACAAUCAACAUACAUUGGUGAUAUUUACAGAAAAACCAUGUCUAGACGUUGCAUUGAGCGCAUCCAAAAUACUGCUCCAGCAGAAGAAUAUAUUCCAGCAGUGCAAACCACAAGCUGAACCACCCAAAUUAUUGCAGCCUGGCCAUUUGAAUAACACUUCCCUGUGCUGCGAUCAUAAAUAAUUCAACACGUGUACUUACUAGCCUAACCUCUCUUUAAAACCUGCCAAAACUCAAACUCAGGAUUGAAGAUGAACCAGGCGGUUUCAACUUCAAUCUGAACAGUGCACUAUGAUCUGAACCGCUCCUUUAUUCAUUUAUUAAGAUAAUUUGAAGUUGCUAACACACGAGCUUCCACAGCAUUGAGAAAGGAGCUUGUUACUGCUGAUAGUCUUCACAGGAGCGCGCUCUCAUCCUGCAGCUGAUGAGAGACGUUUGUCAAGGGUUGGUUGUGGAAGUUUGAGGCAAAGUCGAAUUGAGGGUCGACAGCAUGAUAUGGAAAUGCCGCCUGUGAGCUUUUAUCACCUCAGUGUCACGCAGGAAGCAUUUGUCACCACUUCAAAACCAAUCCGACAUUUUCAAGUAAUGACUGGGAAAUGUCAGGAGCUAAAGGAAGUCAGGUGGCAUUGAAAAAAGCUGAAGUCUACAAGCUGCAAGAUUUGUCAAAGUCAAUGAAAAUUUACAUAACACUAUUUACUUUUACAUUGUACUACUAGGGUAAAUCUCACACCAAUUUGUAAAAAAUUGAACGCGUUAAUAUUUUUUUAACGCAAAUUAAUCGCUUGAUAAGGUUAGACCCCAACUUCUUCCCGUCAUCGCAGCGUGGAAGGUCAUCUAUUAUUGUGUGAUGAGUGUAAGUUACAGCGAACCAGUGUUGCCAUGGUAACGGCACAAGUGGGCUAUUUUGAAAAUACAGUCGCGGGAAAAAAAUUACAGAGCCGUGGGUUGCGUUUUUUUGGGCUACUUUUUUAAUGUACCGCGGCCGCUCAAAGUGUAUAUAGACAAAUAAAAAUUAAUAUAGAUCCUUUUACUAAUGUGUAUUAUACUUGGAAUGUAUCCCUGACAACUUAAGAACUGAGAGGCGGUUGUAACAUCAAACAACGUGAGUUUCAGCAGAGCACAUGUUAAGGCUUUUACACAGCAGAAAUAACAACAGCCACUAUAGAUUAUAUUAGAUAAUAAACACACGAUUACAAUAGAUAUGGUCUGUAUGUGAUUUUCUUGAGGUGAAUGUGUGUAUCUGAAUGCUAAUUUGUGCAGCGAUUAUAAAAGGCUAUAAAUAGUAUAUUUUAACAACAGUAAACGACCAAAUUCCACAUGUGAUCGUAAAAGGAAGUUAUUACAAACACUCGAUGGUGGUUUGAAGUGAGUUCUGAGUAAAAGUGUACUAUCAAUCUCAUAAAUUGUCUUAUGUACAGAGGUGGGUAGUACCGAGUUAUAUUUACUUCGUUACAUUUACUUGAGUAAAUUUUUUGGGUAACUAAUACUUUUAGAGUAUAUUUAAAAAUGGGUACUUUUACUCUUACUCAAGUAAAUUUUUAGUGAAAAAACGGUACUUUUACUUCAUUACUGUGGGCGACGCUCCUCUCGUUAUUUUAUCUUAAUGCAAUACAAGUUAAAAAUCCUUCAAUUUAUUCCAAACUACUUUUUUUCUGGGCAAUGAGCGAUGCCCGUUCGCGAAUGAUUCAUUCUUUUGAGUCAGUUCUGUUCGAAGGCUUGAUCAAACCAGUUGGCAAACCAAUGAAUCGGUUCGCGAAUCAGUUUGAAUGAUUUGUUCAGUUCCCUGCCGCACGCACUGAGUCGUCUGAAGCGGUUCUCACUCAGAGUUGUAACAUCAAGAGCCUUGAAGACGUGGCUUUGGAUCAACAGUCAGUUGAAAGCAAAGGCUAUGGUUUGCUAGCUAUGAAGAUCUUUAUUAGACGAACAUCGCGUGUGCUGUCGGUUCCACAGAAAGCAGUGGGUGACCGAUCAGCACCGCCACGAGCAGCGCACGGAUUCACCCGCACCUGGACACGACUGAGAGCACCUCGGCGAGCAAGAGCACCACCACCACUCACGUAGUCACCUGUCUUUCAAUAAAAUCCACCCUCCAGGGCCGUAAACUGAGCUCUCCUUGUCGCAUGAUCCUUCCACCCUGCCACACUGGUGGAGAAUGCAGGCAAGUUAGUGGAAGGAACACCGACAAGCGAUCUCCCUGCAUCUCACCAUUCUUUUGUUUGUUUCUUCUGUCUCCCCUCUGCCAGGCGGCCGCUCCUCCCCGACAUGGACGAAAUCCUCCAGCGGCUUGCGGAGAUCAGCAUCCGCCAGCAGCAGAUUACUGAACAUCUUGCUGCCCGACACGGCAACCGCGCGACACAUUGCGCUGCCGGACCCCCAUUGGUUAUUGGAUGGGGAUCCCACCGCUGCCAAGGUAAAGGUGUGCCGUCAUCGACCGACUCCUCCGGGCUCUCCCGUUGACCCACCACCAAGCUGUCGGGAUGCGGAACCCCGCCACCAUUGCCGAACUCGUAGAGGCCGUGGAGCUGGCGGAUGCUGCCCAACUCCAGGAUGCUGGGGAGCGAGCGCUGCCGUUCCCCCGGAGGCUGGUCCAGGAGCAACGCGCGCCGGAAGGCACCCUACGACCAGUAGUCAGGCCGGGGGCUCCCGCUCCUGGGGACGAGCCCAUGCCAACAGAGGUUCCAACACCUCCCAUACGGACGUAGCUGGAAGGCUGUAUUGUGCACCGUGACCUGCCCGCAGGGGCUCCAGAAGUGGAGGUAAAGAUCAACGGCCGCCUGUUCCCAGGCUCUACUGCAGUGCGGUCAGCCUGGUACAGUACUGCAUCCUCACACCCCGCGGGGAAACCAAAGCUUCCCUCCCGAUCACUUGUGUGCACGGAGACAUGCGACACGUACUGGCCCGGGGAGUGACCAUCUCGGCUGCCCCGCACUUGACCGGUGGAAGUGGGGGUAGUGAAGGAUCUGCCGGUCCCCGUUCUUCUUUGGAGGGAUUGGCCAAGGUUUGACCACCAGAGGGAGCCGCCGGGGGAAAAGGCCGGCGAGAGGAGCCCGUCAACGCCCCGCCUUGCUGGCCUCGGACAGCGGGAGAGAUGGUGAGUCCCCUCAACAUAAUUCUAACCUCUUCCUUAACCUAUAUCAGCAGGUGACAGGAGGCGGUUCAUUCGCCAAGGAACAGCGCGAGGGCGACCGUCUAAAGCACUGCUGGACUCAAGUGUGCUUUGUAGAGGGAAAGGAGACACAACUGGGUCCCCAUCCUCCCCCGCAUUUCAUCGUCCGAAACGGCCUGCUCUACUGUGUAGCGUGGCGAAGGGGGGAGGAAAAAACCCUACUGGCGGUGCCACAGACGAAGAUGAAGACGAUGCUGGAUUUGGCACACUCGCACCCGCUUGCUGGUCACCUUGGAGCGGCCAACACCACCCAACGGGUUCGUGACCGCUUCCACUGGCCGGGACUGGAGGCCGAAGUCAAACGUUUCUGUCAGUCCUGCUCAGCCUGCCAGAAAACGUCUCCAAGGACGCAUCCCCCCAGCCCGCUGAUUCUGCUGCCCAUCAUCGAGGUGCCCUUCGAGCGCAUCGAGAUGGACCUGGUGGGGCCGUUGCCUAAGUGUGCCCAGGGGCACGAACACAUCCUGGUCAUCGUCGAUUAUGCCACCCGGUAUCCGGAAGCAGUGCCCCUUCGAAAGGCCACCGCCAAGUCCUUCGCCCACAAGCUCUUUCUGCUCUGUAGCCGGGUAGGCAUCCCCGCCGAGAUACUGACCGACCCGACCAGGGGACCCCCUUCAUGUCCCGGCUAAUGGCUGACCUGUGCACCCUGCUCAAGGUGAAGCAGCUGAGGACCUCCGUAUACCACCCCCAGACUGACGGCCUAGUUGAACGGUUCAAUCAAACCCUCAAACAAAUGCUGCGACGAGUGGUAGCCGAGGACAAGCGAGACUGGGACCUCAUGCUGCCAUAUGUACUGUUUGGUAUGGGAGGUACCUCAGGCUUCGACCGGCUUCACCCCUUUCGAGCUGCUGUUCGGACACCAGCACCGGGGGCUGCUGGAUGUGGCGAGAGAAGCGUGGGAACAACAGCCCACACUCCCACCGCUCCAUGAUCGAACAUGUGAAAGAGAUGAGGGAACGAAUCGACCGGGUCUGCCAUUAGUCCGGGAACAUCUCACCAAGGCUCAGCAGACGCAGCAGUGACAUUACAACCGAGCCACCCAGCCUCGAGAAUUCCAGCCUGGAGACCGAGUGAUGGUCCUUGUCCCCAACUCAGCCUGCAAAUUCUUGGCCAGCUGGCAGGGCCCAUAUACCGUCACGGAGAAGAUUGGUCCUGUCACUUACCGUGUCCGCCAGCCGGGACGGCGGACAGCAGACCAACUAUAUCACAUUAACCUACUGAAGAAGUGGGUGGGGACAAGGGACCAGCUCGCAGCCCUCACCACAGUGGAGACGGUGGUCGUGGACGUCAACCCACAGGUUGGUCUGGUUAGUCAGUUCGCCAAUGUGUUCUCCCCAACCCCCGGGCGGACCCAGGUCCUCCAUCACGAAAUCCGCACACCACCAGGAACCAUCGUCCCAGAGGCUCGUCGGCAGGCUAUUUAGGAGGAAAUCCAACAAAUUAUGAAGUUAGGGGUGAUUGAACCAUGCCCUUGGUCUAGCCCUAUCGUCAUGGUACCAAAACCAGAUGGCACCCUCCGCUUCUGCAACGACUUCCGCCGCCUCAACGAAGUCUCGGAGUUUGUGACGUAUAUAUGUUGUAGUAUAUUAUGCUGCCGUCACAUGCUAUCGGAAAUUUCCUAUUUCCCACUUAUGAAGUCGUGAUUAUGAGCUUGUCGUAUUCAAGUGCUUUAAUGUCGGAAAGAAUAAAAUGUAGCAUCCCACUGGUUGACAAUCAUAUAAACAUUCUCCGCGCUACACAUGCUGUUUGCUGACAAUUCUGGACUUUCGGUCAAAUACAUGCUUAUUUCACUGCUUAUAAAACAUACAAUACGCUUCGAAUGAUCGUUCAUAUCGUUCUUUAAGUACACUACUUUAGCGACAAGACAAAGGGAAGUCAGCAUUGACAGCAACAAUGGUUGUCCCCUCCACCAUGUUUAAAGUUUAUGACCCGCCGAACUCAGAAAAUCUGGUUUCAAAAUUAUUUCCAAAUUUCCCAGUAGUAAAUACGACUUGAGAGGCCAUUCACGUCCAAUUUCCGAUUAGGAAACUCGUAUUUACGAUAAUUCCUAUAGCACGUGAAGGCAUUAGAUUUGUGCAUUCUGUCUUAAAGUGACAGCAGCCUAAUAAACCUGCUGCUGUCUGUUAUUUAAUGUUAUUAAUGUAGCAUUUGGGUAAUUUUGCAAUUUAACUAUAUGAAAUCAAGUUGGUUGAUAUACCAGUCAAUAGUAAAUUUCUUUGCCAAUGAGCCACCUCUCGAGAUUUCAACAGAUAAUGUCUGUUAUGAUUUUUGGUCAUGGUGAAGUGUCUCUAAAGUGCUGACAUGUUUACCUGUCAUAGCUAAUCCACGUUGUGUGCAUCAAAUAGAAGCUGACGCAAUUCAAACGCGUCAUUGGAGUAGCGCUACAGUCAAUCAAUGAUUUAAUCCGUCCAAAACUAUUUUGACCAAAACCUUUUUUUUCCCUGUUUCAGCCGAAUACAUUCAGCUGCCAAAAUUUGGGUGCAUCUCUAGUUAUGGACCAUUUGCAUUAUGGUUAAAUAAGCCGAUCUAAAGUGAUUGUACUCGGCAUAGAAGUUGCAUCAAAGCACCAAACACAAAUACUCUGUUUGCACAGACUUUAACACUGACCUUUUUAUUGACGCACAGAGGUGGCCUAAAUGUAUUUACAGAGGAAUCACAAUCACAAGAAACAAUCACAUGCUCAUAUAUCGAUUACUAAUUUGCAUGCAUUUGAGAAGCCUCUGUCAAUCCAACUGCUUUCUUGUGAUGCAACAGACAGCAGCUUACUGAGAGUGGUUUAAAAUAUGCAGUACUGCGCAAAAAUGUUUGUUUUAAGAUGGUUAUUUAUAUCUUUUGCUUUAGUGUGCCAGUAGGAAAUAUCAAUUUUAGAUUUCCAAACAGAUCUCUGUGUGGACCAUCUGUUGUAGGACUUUCUGUUCAUACAAAAAGCUUGUUAGACGUAGAUCUGUCACGAAAAGUUAAAAUAUUUCUUAUUUUGAUGAAAUCUUUGGAGGCCAGCAAACCUGAUUAAUAUAAAUAUAAUUUGUGUGAAACUCUAAGGACCAAGAAUCUUUGGCUUGACACGAAUGUUAAACAAUAGUAAAAUUAUUUUGUGUUUUGUUUUGGCUACAGAAUUUAAUUUGUUUUUGUUUGUUUUUAUUUUUUUUUAAGUGAAGUUAUGGGCUAUUUGAAGCACUAAUUUGAUGCCUUAAUAAACCAUAACACCUUUCUGAAACCUUUAAUUAAAGGGUGUUAAUGUUUAUUACUGACUGACUGACUGACUGCACAUGUUCACAUGCUCUAAUUAUUUUGAAUGCAUUUACACACACCCAGUUUCACACAGAUCUAAAACAGCCACAUAAGUUCAGCCGGUUGACCUGGCUGGAGUGAUUGUCAACGCACAUUCCCACCCAUGGAAGGCCUCUCAGGAAAGCAACACCCAGGUCAUCUGCUUUAUUUAUUUACAUUCCUCCGAUCGGCAGGAUCCUCCAGAGACAGGGCACAGAAAUAUGCUGUGGAAGGGUGUGGAGCACCUCUGGGACAACACAGGACAGCGCCUUCACCAACACCAGCCUAUUAUCAUACACUCACACCAUUGUGCUCUCAGAAAAGCUCACUGUGUACGAGAACAAUGCGUUACAGUAACCACCUUCACAAGAUUACUCUGUGAUAGCUUGCUAUUAAUCCAUAUUUAUAGAUUUUGUUCUCUGUCCACCCUUCAUGACAGGUACAGGAGAAGCAACUUAAGCCUAAAACAUGAAAGUAGAUACUUCUAGAUAUACAAAUUUGAUUUUACACAUUGUUGACACAUGAAAUCAGGUGGCAAAAAUAAGUCAGAAUGGGGGGUGUGGAAUUGCCAAAAAUUACAUCUCAUUAUUUUCUGAGAUUUUGUCGAUGAUGUUAAUUAGACAAUAUUUUGCAGAGUGUUUUUUUGCUGGUACCUGGGCUGGUUUAGACCUGUCAUGAACAGCUGAUUCCCCAAGAUUUUCAUAUUUUUCAUAUUUGCCCCAUUAAAUGGAUUUCCAGGGGCCUUUUUUACGUUAAAGGGCAAUUUUUCUAUGUGUAUUAGAUAUGCAUUAUCGUUUAUGUUAAAUUAUUUCUUUUAAUCAAUAAAUUCACUUAGAAUAACAAGACACUAUAGGGGUGUUACCAAUCAAACUAAAUCAUUAUCAGUAUUGGCAAAAUAGAGCAUAAACAGACAAAAUUGACAAUAUUAUAUCUGAAAUGUAACUUACAUUAUGAACUUAUUGUUUAUUGUAUUGUUGUAUUCUGCUGAUAUUCGGGAAAAACAGCACUCAUGCAUGCAUGAUAUUGCUUAACUAUCUCACAUGGUAUAAAUAUAAUGGACAAAACUAGUCCACUAAUAAUUAUUGUAGUUUAUUCAAAUUGCACAUCCCUAGUCAGAAAUUUAACGUUACAGGUAUGAAUUGCAUUCUUAGUGUUGCCACAAGGGGUGCUAUAGAGAUCACAGUAUUGCAUAAUCUGUCUUUUUUAGGGUCAGUUUUCUCUCCCGGGACAACUAAUGUCAAGGCGAAGCAAAAUUUGUGAAAAAAAUUAAAUCUUGCAGAGCUGGUUAAAUUAAUAAAAUGGUUGACAUGUUUAGACUGAGAUUUUGUUUUUGUUAGUGAUGUGGUUGUUUUGUACAGGAGCCUGUUUCUGCACUGAAUAAGAAUAAAAAUAAAAAAGGUAACUGUGACUUUUUAUCUCACAAUUUGGACUUUUUCUCUAAAUUUUGAGUUAACAUAUCGCAUUUGUUUCCACCACAGAAUAAAAAAAAGGUAAUUGCAAAUUUUAUCUCACAAUUACUUUUUCCCCUCAAGAAUUUUCAAGAAAAAAAGUGUACAGAAUAAGAAAAAAUAAGAAAGAAAAUUGUGAGAUAUAAACUGCAAGAAUUGCAACAGUCUGAAAUGUAAGACAAGAAGUCUUAAUUACCUUUUUCUUCUAUAGUUUUGGACCUUAUUGACUUUCAUUUCAUAAACAAAAGUAUUCUUCAAAAUAUCUUUUUGUUCCGUAAAAUUGGAAUGAGGUUGAGUAAUUGAUGAAUUUCCGUGGUUGGAUGAACUAUCCCUUUCAAAUAUAGGCUAUAAAAUGGGUCUUCAUGCUUGCAAUGUACUAAUGUCUGUUUGUGUACUUACAGAGUAUGUUUUUAGCCUUAGAGUAUCUCUGUGUAUCUAAUAUAUUGCAUCACAAGACUGUUCAGUAGAAACGUAACUGGAUGUCAGUGGCAUAGGUCAAUAUUAGGACAUGACUUGCUAAAGGGACAGAGCACCAGAGGAAAAACAUGUUUACUGUUAAGGUGGAAUGUUUUAAAUAUUUUAAAUUGUCCCUGUAGAGUUAGUCAGAGUAUUUGCUCAUGGAGGACAACCACAUUUCAGUGAAAAUCCAGUGCAAAUCUGAAGCAUCUGAAGUGCAGAGUUCAUCUAGGCCCGGUAUUACCUGUGUGACAUAGAGAGCAUGAAAAAGACACAUUUUUUUGUUUGACGUUACACUGAACGCCUGCUUUAUUCCCUUUUGCUAGGCCAGUAGGAAAUGUUUCAGAGAUUACCAGCACUCUGCUGAUGAGUGUAAACAUGGAGCAGAUGGUGAGUGACUGCAGCUCCGGUAAGAGGAGCCUGUGAGGGGGAAACUUGGCUGGAUCGUGAACGUUACUGAACUGAGCUCAGGCUAUACUGAGAGUGUGAAAAUGCUCACAUAGGAGUAAAGUAUACAUUUCCUCAUGAGGAAAGAACAGACACUAUCUUGUUUAUAUACUAUAAAGAAUUCUGUUUCUGGGUCAUUUUUGGGGGGUUUUUCCACUGGAAAGAUUCUUCAUUUUUCUCUUGUUUUUUCUGUUGACUGAUUUUAAAGUCACUAUGAAAUAGAAACAACAACAGAUUUACCUCACAAUAUGGAAGAAAAAUCUUUGGUAUUGUGACAUACACCCAGGUGGACCCUUUUCAUAGAUUGUGAUGAUGCAUUCCACAGUUAUUAACAUCAUAAAUCUAUUUUUUAUAUAUAUUUUAUUUUUAAAUGUUUAAAUGAUGUACAUUUAUAAGACUGAACUUUGUGUUAUAUUACUUUAGUAUAACAUUUCGCUGCUUAACGUUGCUGUGUCAAGUGUUUCUAUCACCAUGGCUGCGGGACUGACAGAUUUAACAUCAAUAUUUUAUUUUUUAUUUUUUGGAAGUCAAAAACGCUAUAGUGGAUUUUAUCUUUCGCAAUUGGAUCAAAUGGAAACUCAAAAAUUAUGUUUGUUGUAGUUUCCAAAAAAGUUCAAAUAUGAUGACGUCCGCUUCUGAGAACCCCGUAAAUUUGAAAAGGUCCAUGAAUGAAUGAAUGAGGCAUUUAUAUAGCACUUUUUAUUGUGUAUUGCAAUACACCCAAAGCGCUUUACAUCAUGUGGGGGGGGUCUCUCCUCAACCACCACCAGUGCGCUCACCACACACCAGCUACAGGUGGAGAGAAGAGAGAGUCAUAGAGCCAAUCAAGUGGAUGGGGAUUAUUGGGAGGCCAUGAUUGCCAAGGGCCAGUGGAGGGAAUUUGGCCAGGACACCGGGGUUACACCCCUACUCUUUACGAGAAGUGCCAUGGGAUUUUUAAUGACCACAGAGAGUCAGGACCUUGGUUUAACGUCUCAUCCGAAAGACAGUGCUUUUUACAGUAUAGUGUCCCCGUCACUAUACUGGGGCGUUAGGACCCACACAGACCACAGGGUGAGCACCCCCUGCUGCCCUCACUAACGCCUCUUCCAACAGCAACCUAGUUUUUCUCAGGAGGUCUCCCAUCCAGAUACUGACCAGGCUCAGCCCUGCUUAGCUUCCAUGGGCAACCAGUCUUGGGCUGCAGGGUGAUAUGGCUGUUGUUACAUGGUUUAUUGAAAAAGAGAAAAAUGAAGGUUGAAACUUAGUUUUGUCCAUCGAUUGUUGAUUGGAUGGAGGCGGAUCUGAACAUGCAAGAGGCAGGGGUUAAACAGACGAAAUGACAGGAGAAGUCUGGCAUACAUAACCAGAGAGAAGUAAUGGCAAUUUGAUUAAACAUUGCAAGGUCCAAAAAAAAAAAAAAAAA